Molecule: long non-coding RNA, 2287 nt
Organism: Salvia splendens (bonfire salvia)
Lineage: Eukaryota; Viridiplantae; Streptophyta; Magnoliopsida; Lamiales; Lamiaceae
Exons: 2
Source: RefSeq, a predicted model, not a curated record
GAUCCCCUGCUGUGGCUGAUAGCACAGCAGGGGAUGCUGUUACACACAGCACAAUAAUUUAAUUUAAAAUAAUAAUAAUAAAAUAUUAAUAUAUUUUUUUAUAAAAUAAUGUAUUGUGUGUGUAAAUAUUGGCACUGCCCCUGCUGUGCACAGCAGGGGAUCCUUGCCCCAAAUAGAGUGCUCUACACCUAAUUAUAUACAAGAAGUGAAUAGCUAUGUCUUAGCUAUUCUAAAGGACAAAGUCUACAAGUUUGACUCUAGCUAGAAUUGGUAAUGGAAUCAAGGAAAGCUUGAGCAUGAGUCAUCUUCUCAUCCCUUCUCGAUUUCCAGCCCCACAACACUCCAAUUGUGCAGCCCCUAACCUACAAAGUUUACACCAAAAAAAGAGGUUAGUUUGGAACCUAUAAAUAAAGGAAAGGGAGGACCCAAGCUCAAUUAAGAAGAGGAAUAGUAGAGCUAUAUAGGUCAGUCAUUAGGCUGCAAAUUAGAGCUGGGAUCAGCCACAUUUUGACCCUUCUCAACUUGCACCAAUAAGGAAUCAAACAAAGCUGCCACAAGAUAAGAGAACUCAACCACAAGCCAAGGAUGGGAAGUUAGAACUCCCUUUUAACAGUCAAGGGAGGACUCCCUUCCCUCAAGAAUUUCACCAAAAUAAGCAGGGAAGCCUAUUCAACAAGCUCAAAAGAAGGAGAAACAUGUAGUUCAAAGUAGCAAGUUACACUCCCUAAAAUCUGCCACAAAAGACAAGGGAAUUUGCCUAUAAAUGCCGUCGCCUCCGCCCCAAACUACACUCUGUUAAAUUCCACAAGGUGAGGAGUGCGACGGAGUGAGGAGCAGCGACGGCGCAAGGCGACGGCAGUAAAGAGGGCAGCCACAACCGAGAAUCACCAAGCAAGGUAAUCCCAACAACCCCUCUUUGCAUCACAUGAGUAACAAGAACAUAGAGAUAUCACCAACAAUUAGAUACCAUAGCCCCUGCCGAGAAUGGAAAUGGCGGAUAGAACUUGCACACAUAUAGUAGUUCAAGCAUAGCAGUGUGAAUAAAAUCAUCCCAGUAAGAUAGAUUGUCCCCAAAAUCACAACUUUAAACCACAAGAAGCAAAUGGAAAUUUCACAUAGCUACUGCCAUAACUCAAAGAAACUGAGAAAAAGGGAAUGGAGAAAAGGGACUUAGCUUUAGGGGAAGGAGCUGCUCGGCGGAGGGGGCUGACGCGAGUCGCCGGCAACGGUGUGACUCCCAGCGGAAAUGUCAAACUCCCGGAGAAAGGCAGAGAGAUCAGCGUCGAGAGCCUGAUACGCCGGCAAGGACCCUCCCUCGCGAAGGAGACAGCGGCGCGGGACGACGGCGGGCUCCGAGGGUGCUGUUGGGGUGGCAGCGUUUCGCCGAGAGCGAGAGAGAUGGCUCGGAGACCGACGAGCUGCCGCCGACGAACUAAGCUGAGAAAGAAAGUGAGAGAGAUGAGAUGGCGCAGUUCUAGAGUGAUAGAGGGAGAUUGGGGGUCUUGACGGAGAAGAUAACCGGCUGAUUUCCGGCAGUGAGCACUGGGGACAGAGGCAGAUAUUUGAUUUGGGUUCUCAGAUUGGGGAAGAAUGAAAGUGAGGAAUGGGAUUAGAGAGAGGGAAGGAUGGGUUGAUUACUUGGUUGAUUUAUUUGGGCCAAGGGAUUUGUUUGUUGGGCCAAUAAUAAAAAAAAUGAUGGGCUGCAGAUUAUUAAAGGGAGACUUGGGCUAGUAUAUUUAAUUACUUGGGCAGAUUGGAGCAAGAGAAAAAAAGUUGUGAUUCGUAUUUAAUUGUUGGGAUGAAAAAAAUUGAUCCUUAGGCCAAAAUAAACCAAAGGGGGAGAAGAGCAGUUGAGUCAGACGGAAUUAUUUUACGAAGGAGCUUGGGCUGAAAUUAAGUUGGUCUUAUGCUAGAAUUCUAAUUAAGUUCUUGGGCCAUGAUUAAUUAGGGCAUGCAUUCUAAUUCUAAUUAAAAGUUUAAGAAUUUUCUUAAGUCUUGUUAGUAAGUUGUGUUGUUUUCAAAAAGGUUAUCUCCGCGAGCUAAGGUCGGAGUCAGGAUAAAUCAAGUUAAGAAGUUUUAAGCGAACGAGGUUGAGCAGUGAUGACGGCGGGCGGUGUUGAGCAUAGACGAUGAAGAUCCUUCGAUAAGAAUAGUACUCGGAUGCGGCGUGUCUCUAUACACAACGUCAUCUACUCUUGACUCUUCCGCUGCAAUGUAAAAAAAUCGAGUUUGCACUAUGUAUCAUGCACUUUGAUAUAUAUAUACUAUUUGAGUUAUUUCGGUUCAA